AGUAAAAAUUGAACAAAAAAUACUAAUUACACAAGCUUACAAAUUCAAAAAAUAUUUUCAACCCCAGGAGAUUAGAACAAUUCGUAACAAUACAUGACCUGCUCGGUCUGAACAUUUAAUACGACCGGCAAUAUGCUGUCAUAACGAUUGUUAAAUAGUAAAACGUGAUAAGUGCAAAUAUCCUGUAAACUUCAACUCAGCACCUGACUUUCAUUGGUGAUUUGAAUUUGAAGAUACUGCAUACAGAAGCAGAAAUCAGGUACUUGGACCGUUCUUCAAAAAUUUUCUUGUAACAACAUGAAUGGUCUAUUUAAUACUGUGAAUACACAAUAUAAUCGAAAUGAAUGACGGUUGUUUCUUGAUGGUUCCAAAUACAGUCUUAAAAGCUUCUCUGCUCCACAAUAGAUGUAAAAAAAUCUAGUCCGUUUGUUCAUACUCUGCAAAUGAAGACAAAGCGGAAGAACUAGUUCUAUAUCAAAUACAAUGACCAUGAGUGUAGAAAAUGUGACAAUUAAUCAUUAUCAUCUUAACAGGAGAUUUGUCGCUGGAUCGGGAUGAAAUUGGAAUUUAACAAAUUUUGCUGUUUUUAUUGAUUAUGGAACUGUCGCGGUCUGGACAUCAUUAUCGGAGAAAAGAUUAUCAUAGAAACUAAUUUUGGUUGGCCAUGUUCCAAACCAUGCAAAUCAAUGGCUAUCAUCAAUUUAAACAAGUAUACUUGCAUGUUACGAAGAUCUUUUUUAUUACCAUGAUACAAACUUAAGAACACAAUUGGAUUCUUAAAAAUAAACUGAAUUUGUCUGUUAUCGCGCUUAAAUUAUCCAUGCACAUUUCGGUUAGUUUUUCGUGUAAUAGUAUAAAAAAAUAAAUAUUGUAAAUAUUUGUAAUAAGACUUAGGGAAAAAAUGUGUGAGUGAAAAAUUACGCAUGUACUGAUUUGUUGUCUUUUUCGAUAGCUCCUAGGGAAAAUACUAAAUAUAGACACCCUUGUUUGUGCCCGA
Molecule: long non-coding RNA, 997 nt
Organism: Ceratitis capitata (Mediterranean fruit fly)
Lineage: Eukaryota; Metazoa; Arthropoda; Insecta; Diptera; Tephritidae
Exons: 2
Source: RefSeq, a predicted model, not a curated record